GUGCCUGCUUCAGCAGCACAUACACUAAAAUUGGAAAGAUACAGAGAAGAUUAGCGUGGCCCCUGCUCAAGGAUGAUAUGCAAAUUUGUAGAGUGUUCCAUAUUAAA
Molecule: small nuclear RNA, 107 nt
Organism: Leopardus geoffroyi (Geoffroy's cat)
Lineage: Eukaryota; Metazoa; Chordata; Mammalia; Carnivora; Felidae
Source: RefSeq, a predicted model, not a curated record